UCACCAAGGCAGUGGGUGGCAUUCGAGUUGAGACCUGUGCAAUAAGGAGCCAGCCAUGGGAAACCAAGUGCUUUGGACAAACAGAAUGAUAUGAUGAUUUUGGUGGUUUUGGUUUGUUUGUGUCUAGUAAAGUAUUGCCUUAAAGGUGAUGAACAAGUUGCCAAGCUAUCUUCUACAAUAGGCAAGCCUCGAGUGAUAAAAUAAACACACACUCAACCUUCAGCUUGUUUCCUGUGUGAGGUGAUAAAAGCAUUUUCUAGUCAUCUCUGUGUUCUCAUUCAGAAGAGGGAGGUGAGUUCCCCAUAAUUCAAUAAGCAACUCUACAAAGAAGGAAUGCCUUGGCCCACCCUUAGAGGACAGCAUUAAUUUUUAUGGUCAAGGGUUAGAGCAAAAUUCUACUUUCCUUAGGAAGUUUUUCUCCUUGGUUUGCCUGGGAUGAACUCACUCUUGUCUUCAAUUCUAACGCUCUUUCUCUCAUCUUCAUGCCUUUGUGCUGUUAUAACACACCUGCUUGAACUUUGAUGGGGAUAUCUUUUUCCAGAAAAGGUACUCCAAUAUCAUUUGGGGAGAAGCAGAAGAAUCAAGACCAGGAAAUCCAAAUGAACAAGUCCCGGGCACCAUGCCAUACCCACAACGUGGCACUGGGUAUAUGCUGAUCUGCUGUGGAGUCAGCACUAAAACCCCUUCUCAGAACCAAGAUAACCAUCAAGUUAUCUAACGACUAGGUAAGUAAAGGAGUUGAAAUUUCAAGAGAGAUUUUUGAAGUACUCUAUUUGUUAAUAAUUUCUUUCCCGAAAGCUUUUUUUCUAUAAAAACUUCCAUGCUUGGAGUAGAACUGGAUAGGAAAUGUAAAAUAAACUCGACGCACCGUUGAACAUUAGCUCUAUAAUUCUAAUCUGGAUUGAGAUCGAAGAUUUAGAACUAAACCCCUCUGAAAGAGCAGUGCAGAGAAUGUUACUAAGGACAAGGUUGCAUGCUCGAAGUGGCCCUGGAUAACAUCUGCCAUUCAUACAAUGUGAGGUUUAAAGGUAGACUAGAAUAUAGAAUUGAGGCCAGAGAGAGGCAAGUUCAGGUGAAAAGGGAAAGAUAACAACAUAGCCUAUUGCACUGUAUGUGAGACCAUCUACCUGUUACAACCAUAAAUUUGGUUAGAGGAGAAGUGGGCUCUGGUUUCACAUUUCUUUGCAAGUAUCUUCAUUUUUGUGGGCAGGAAAUUUUAUUGCCAGGUUAAGAUUUUAACUGAGUGAAUCUCAGCAAUGGUACGUCUAUUCUGUAAGCGCAGUUUUCUGUGUUGAUCAUGUGGAAAGUCCAUGAAAGGACCAUGAGAACUCACACAGAGGAAGGGCAAGAGCUCUCUAGUCCCUUGCAUGUAGAAUGUGGAACUGGUGGUUACUGCAAAAAUAACAUUAUUAUCUAAGACUCUUUCUAAGAGGGAGAAAG
This 1440-nucleotide long non-coding RNA is filed under the name Macaca mulatta (Rhesus monkey). Its description in RNAcentral is "lncRNA (ENSMMUG00000051352.1)". Lineage: Eukaryota; Metazoa; Chordata; Mammalia; Primates; Cercopithecidae. The record is from RNAcentral.